This 497-nucleotide ribosomal RNA is filed under the name uncultured bacterium. RNAcentral describes it as "partial 16S ribosomal RNA". It matches the Rfam family "Bacterial small subunit ribosomal RNA", at positions 28 to 507 of the family's 1533-position model. The record is from RNAcentral.
GAUGAACGCUGGCGGCGUGCCUAAUACAUGCAAGUCGAGCGAACAGACGAGGAGCUUGCUCCUCUGACGUUAGCGGCGGACGGGUGAGUAACACGUGGAUAACCUACCUAUAAGACUGGGAUAACUUCGGGAAACCGGAGCUAAUACCGGAUAAUAUAUUGAACCGCAUGGUUCAAUAGUGAAAGACGGUUUUGCUGUCACUUAUAGAUGGAUCCGCGCCGCAUUAGCUAGUUGGUAAGGUAACGGCUUACCAAGGCAACGAUGCGUAGCCGACCUGAGAGGGUGAUCGGCCACACUGGAACUGAGACAGGGUCCAGACUCCUACGGGAGGCAGCAGUAGGGAAUCGUCCGCAAUGGGCGAAAGCCUGACGGAGCAACGCCGCGUGAGUGAUGAAGGUCUUCGGAUCGUAAAACUCUGUUAUUAGGGAAGAACAAAUGUGUAAGUAACUAUGCACGUCUUGACGGUACCUAAUCAGAAAGCCACGGCUAACUACGUG